AAAUGGCUGGGUUAUUUUUUAACCCAAAAUGCUGGGUUGAGUCUGUUGGGUUGUUUUGCUGGGUUAUUUUUUUACAUUUUAAACACUUUUUGGGUAGUUUCAGUUUUCUAGGUGUUGGGUUAAAACUGCUGGGUUAUUAUGUUGGGUUGUUUGAAGAGGCUCACGUCACGUGCUUCGCGCCCUUGAUGUUUGAAUGUGCUCAGCAAUGGUCGUCGUGAAAGGACAGAGUCACUGAAGCAGUUGUUUCAAGGUAAGUUUAUAUGCUUUUGUGAACAUUUCAUGAAUAUAAACAAGAUUAUAACAUUUUGCGAGACAGCAACGUGUUAAUUUAUACUGACUAAGACGACGGGUGUAAUUUAGAGGAAUGACGACUGUUACCUCAGAUCGCCAUUUACACAAAUUGACUUGAAUAAUCGUUCUAAGAUGUUUGAUAUGGCAUAUUAAUAAAAUUAAUAAAACAGAUGUUACAAAAUCCCCAUCACACGGUUGAUUACGUUAACUCAUGACAAUUCUGUAAGCCUUUAACAAAGCGAGUCAAAACCGGUGGACCUCCGCAACCCACUUCGGCUUUUUGUGUCACACACGCGCAUAGUUUUCCCUUUCCCAGCUUAACAAGCGAUAGCGACGCUGUUAAAUUAAAUUUAGCGACAAACGAAUUGCUUUCUUGUCAUUCGAUAUGUAAAGACAGACCGCAAAGGGCGAGGCGCGAGCAGAAGCACAUGUUAACUUUACCGGCGGCGCCGCGGCGGAGGAUCACGGAGCCGUCGUCUACGCUGUCACUGAGGCAAAGACAAGAAGCACAUUCACUUCACAGUCGGUACGGCAGAGUGUGCAGAGUUUUUAUGUCCAUCCAUUGAUGAGGCUAGCAAGACCUUCAAACAACUUUAGCCAAUUGCAACAAAUGUGGUGGAAUUUCUUCUCUGGACAGAAUCCUCGAAACCCUUUCCUUUCUUCCUGGCCAUGGGAAACAUGCAGCAGAUCUCUCAAUCUUUUUUCUCAAUCAGUCUCUCUGAAUACGGAAGUGACUUAAACCAUAGAUAUAAAGGCUAGAUGGCUCUUCCGCGCUGCUGGCCAAUUGAGUGCAAC
This is a non-coding RNA of Misgurnus anguillicaudatus (oriental weatherfish), 1086 nucleotides long. The record is from RefSeq and is a predicted model, not a curated record. Lineage: Eukaryota; Metazoa; Chordata; Actinopteri; Cypriniformes; Cobitidae.